Molecule: ribosomal RNA, 537 nt
Filed under: uncultured archaeon
Lineage: Archaea
Description: bacterial SSU rRNA
Rfam family: Archaeal small subunit ribosomal RNA
Source: RNAcentral
CGGGGUGCACCAGGCGCGAAAACUUUACAAUGCUGGCAACAGCGAUAAGGGGACCUCGAGUGCCAGGAUACAAUCUUGGCUGUCGUGAUGCCUAAAAAGCAUUACAUAGCAAGGGCCGGGCAAGACCGGUGCCAGCCGCCGCGGUAACACCGGCGGCUCGAGUGGUAACCGCUAUUAUUGGGUCUAAAGGGUCUGUAGCCGGCCGGAUAAGUCUCUUGGGAAAUCCAGCAGCUCAACUGUUGGGCUUCCAGGGGAUACUGCUCGGCUCGAGGCCGGGAGAGGUGAGAGGUACUUCAGGGGUAGGGGUGAAAUCUUGUAAUCCUUGAAGGACCACCAGUGGCGAAGGCGUCUCACCAGAACGGUCCUGACGGCAAGGGACGAAAGCUAGGGGCACGAACCGGAUUAGAUACCCGGGUAGUCCUAGCCGUAAACGAUACUCGCUAGGUGUCAGCCACGGUGCGACCGUGGUUGGUGCCGUAGGGAAGCCGUGAAGCGAGCCACCUGGGAAGUACGGCCGCAAGGCUGAAACUUAAAGGA